Molecule: ribosomal RNA, 466 nt
Filed under: uncultured bacterium
Lineage: Bacteria
Description: partial 16S ribosomal RNA
Rfam family: Bacterial small subunit ribosomal RNA
Source: RNAcentral
GAUGAACGCUGGCGGCGUGCUUAACACAUGCAAGUCGAACGAUGAAGCCCAGCUUGCUGGGCGCUUUAGUGGCGAACGGGCGAGUAACACGCGAGUAAACUGCCUUUGACUCUGGCAUAAGUCACGGCAACUGGGCCUAAUACUGGAUAUGACUUCUCAUCACACGGUGGGGGGUGUAAAGAUAUAUUGGUUUUAGAUGGACUCGCGGCUUAUCAGCUCGUUAGUGAGGUAUUGGCUCACUAAGGCGAUGACGGGUAGACGACCUGUGAAGGUGACCAGCGACAAUGGGACUAAGAGACGGCGCAGACUGCUACGGGACGCAGCAGUGGGGAAUAUGACACAGUGGGCGCAAGCCUGAUGCAGAGACGCCGCGUGAGGAAUGACGGCCUUCGGGUUAUAAACCUCUGUCUGUAUGAAUAAAGCGAGAUUGACGGUACCUGCAGAAGAAGCGCCGGCUAACUACGUG